CACCAACCUGCUCUCCGUGCUUGUCUCUUGUAGAUAUGUAAUAGUUUCCGGUUUUCUCAUGGGGGCGCUUAGAUCCAGCAAAGAAGUAAAAAUAUAACCCUUUAAGAAAGCGCGCGAACGUGCUCCAGCGGAUUGUAUGUGCGCAAUGGCCUCCCAACUGUUGAUCCACCGUGAAAAACCAGCUGUGUGCCAUGCAGAUGUCGGAAAAUACUGAAGUCAAAAAAGUUUGUUGUAACUUCAUUGCCUGUGUGAUUUUUGUUUGUCUGAUGUUCUUUUCCCAGCGAGUCCGAGUGUGCCAGAUUCGCCACUCUUGACUCGCCUCUACUUGAGGCCAUUGCAAUGAUGGUUUGACGUGAGUUAAUUAGGAGAAAUAAAUAAGAAAUGAAUAGAAGGUGAAGUUUGUUUCUGCCUUCAAAAAGGUUCGUCUGGUAGGACAUGAUGAACAUGGAUAAUAAGCAACAGUUGUUUCUGCAAAGCUGCUCUUGCUGGAGUUGAGAGGCUCAUGUCCUGCUGCAGAAUAAAUAUACGUAUAUGAAGAUGAGCCAGUUUGACGGGCAAGUCAUUCAUAACUAUUUGGCCAGCUAAUACAGUCAAAUUAAGCAUAAUCAAACUAGCAACCUUAUCCUUAUUUAGACACCACUGACGAUCGAGUGUCACAUGUAUUACCCUGAGUAGUGAUCAGAGUACAAAACUACGCAUGUAGUUCCUUUCAGGAGGCUUUCAUCACAAUUUGUAUUAAGCUUUGGAAAACUAUAAGCAGGAGGCAACCAACCACCUCUAUCCAGAUGUUGCUUCGUGUUGUUGGCUCCUUCCAGUAUUUGUUUUACUUUCAUGUCUUUCUCUUCAGUUUAUAUCUGGAAUAUCCAUUUCUGAGCCCGGGCUCAUCUGCACCUGGUGAACAGUAAAUCCAAAAGAAGAAAAGAACUGAUUUUUUUCCUGGAAGAUGUUUCAGUGCGUGAAGUCCAUGUCAAUUUCCAAUGCGUUCGGACAUGUAAGUAGCUCCAAAAAACAGUCCGAAAAGUAUAUGAACAGUAAAUUAUUUGACGGACCCCAAAUUUGUCUUAUUUGCUGAGAGUUACUAAGAUAUCCAAACGUGCUGAAAAUUGGCACGAAUCUCAUGCACUGAAACAUCUUCCAUGAAAAUUCAGUUUUCUGUACCAUGCAUUAUCUCCAUCCGUGAGUUUUUUCCCUGUUUGAUAAAUGUAGAUACUGGCAAAUUUUGUUUGUUUCUGCGUGGUUACAGUUUACAUUGUCUGUGGAAUAUACAAGUUUAACACCCAGAUUAUUAUGUUACCAUAUUUCUAUGUUCUGGAAGGCAAAAAGUAUCUUGAUCCCAAACUGUGUUAUCUGCUCUCUGUUGCUAUGUUUCAGUUUUUCUACUUGAGAUGACUGACUGAUUGCACACGGCCAAUUUAUGAGUAACCAUGAAGAAAACUAGCAUGUCCAUGUAAGGAGGACGCCAGCCAGCUUUUGAUCUGACCGUGAGCAACUUGCUCAAUCGUUCGUCUUGAGUUAAUUAACAACAGGAUCAUCAGCGCUGGAGUUGGCCAUCUGUUUGAUAAGAGUAAACGGUGACCCUGAUUAAUCAUUGGGUCCACAUUCAGUCAACAGGUGAGCACACACGCAAAUAUCCACUGAUGAGCACAUCUAGCUCCAGCAGAUGACAUUAGAGAUGUGAUCUCAAAGUUUUCAUAGUUGACUUUGAGAUAUAUAUCCUCGUGUGAUGUAUCAGAUGGUAAAAUCCAAACCAGGUUCGUGCCAGCACCACCGAUAUGAUCAUCUUGUCGAAGCAAAGCUCAGCGUAAUCCUAUACCACCAUUGAUGCCUGUACUAAUUGAGUAAAUCAACCUGUUGUACCCUUGAUUUGCAUGAUUUACUACUUUAUCAUCAUGUGCAGGUGCAUGCUUACUCGAGUGGAUGAUCGAUCAAGAGGUGCAUCCUUCCACGGGUGAAGUAAACGACAUCCUAGUUAAAUUAACUCCGGAGUGAAGUAAACGAACGCCUAGCUAGACUAACCCUUACCAUGAUGAAGGUAUGAUUACUGAAGAAAUGAUAUGCUGGAAUGAGAGUACGUAUUCAUUAUUUAGGUACUCAAAUGUGUCCUGACUACACACAGAAUAAUGCUAGUGUACUUCUUUUUGUGUAUCUUUCUCGUUAUGUGAUUUGUGUAAGCAUUAAGUUUACGUCUUGAUAUUAAAACUUCAUAUAUACAUUCGAUGCAUUGCUCUAGACAUUUAAACAAAUGGUGGUAGUGCGUGCAUAUCUAGGAGUAUGCAGUACUCUAGACAUUUAAACAAGUAUCCACUGAUCGAUUGAGAGAACGUCCCUUUAGAAGUUGACAUUUGCAGGAGCGGACGACCUCGAAGUUCUCGUGAUUGAUUUUCAUGUUUAUGCAUGGCAUGUUGGAUGUGCUUAUCCAUGUAGACGUGCUUAUCCAUGUCGACGUGCUUAAGGAUCCCAGGGAUGCAUGUGAGAAUCAGGAUAAUACGGUUGGACGCACGGUGACCGGCGAGCAAUGCAACAAUGUGACUAAUUAAUUAAAGCAUCUGGUUUAUGAUAGUAGUAAUACACUAGACUUUGAUUAACAUUUCUGGGCAAAGAAGCCAUGUGUUUUUGUAGCACUGCAGGCACUUGCUUUACCGGCAUACUUAUUUUUUUUUGCUAAUUUACAGUUAAUUGCAGCAACGUCUCGGUACCGACGUAGGAGAGCAACGCAUACUUUGGAAUAAUUAGACAACCACAAUUAAAAGACUUGUCUACUUAAAAAAUUGAAGUCCAAAGUUCUAAAACUAACUCUCCAGUCUAACAAGUGGAUAUCAUGCAAAAAUGACAAUGUAAUAAAAAUAAAAUUUGUUUGCACAAAUUUUUAAAAAAUCCUCUGAUUAUUAUAUUACAGUACUUCUAAGAUCUGAAACUGGCGAAAAGUAUCUUGAUCUCAAACUGUAUUAUCUGUUUUUGUUGCAGGGUGUCUUCUACCUGAGAUGAAUGACUGAUUGCACACGGCCAAUGUAUGAAGAAAAUUAACAUGUGCAUGUAAGAAGGAUACCAGCCAGCUUUUAAUUUGACCCUGAACAUCAAUCAAUCGCCUUAAGUUAAUGGUAACUACAAGUUUUCACAGUAAAAUGUUCAUGCAUGCUUCAGUUUAAUUCCUGGUCUCGCUCCAUGCGCUUGCCGGCAUCCGCAACGAGCGGACUAUGCUCUUGCCGGUGAUGAUUCACGGUGAGCGCCUGGUGGCCCUCCUGGAUACAGGCUCCAUGCAUAACUCCCUGCCCGAGGCUACCAUGCGGUGCUUAGCGCUUCAGCCGACGGGCAGGGAGCAACUUCGGGUCACGGUGGCUAACGGCGACCGCCUCCGGUCCCAUGGGCUGGUGCAGAACGUGCCCAUCAUCAUCGGCGACGAGCACUUCACUAUCACGUGCACUGGCAUUGACUUGGGCUGCUUCGACUUCAUCCUCGGCGUCGACUUCUUGCGGACCCUCGGUCCCAUCCUCUGGGACUUCGACGCUGUGACGAUGAACUUCUGGCGCCUAGGUCGCCGUGUCCGGUGGGAGGGCGUGGUUGGCGCCUCACCAGUGACGCCGCAGUUGCAGCUGGCCGCGACCGCUGCCGAACCCGAGCACCCACUGUUGGAUCACCUCCUGCAGUAGCACCGCGACCUCUUCGACGAGCCUCAAGGCCUUCCGCCAGCUUGGGUGUAUGAUCACUGCAUUCAUCUCCUGCCGGGCACGACGCCGAUUGCAGUGUGCCCCUACCGCUAUCCCCAGUUGCAGAAGGACAAGCUAGAGCAGCAGUGUGUGAUCAUGCUCGCCUUGGGCAUCAUCCGGAUCUCCACGUCGCCGUUUUUGGCGCCGUUCCUCCUCGUCCGCAAGUCGGAUGGCACGUGGCGCUUCUGCAUCGACUACCGCGCCCUUAAUGCCCUGACACUCAAGGACAAGCUUCCUAUCCCGGUGGUCGACGAGCUUCUGGACGAGCUACAUAGGGCGCGCUUCUUCACCAAGCUCGACCUCCGAUCAGGCUACCACUAGGUGCGGAUGCACCCGGACGAUGUUGCCAAGACGACGUUUCAGACUCAUCACGGCCACUUCGAGUUCUUGAUGAUGCCUCUUGGCCUCUCCAACACCUCGGCGGCCUUCCAGGCUUUGAUGAACGACAUCCUCCGCCCCUACUUGCGUCGGUUUGUGCUCGUUUUCUUUGAUGACAUUCUUAUCUACAGCGCCUCGUGGGCGGAGCACCUUCAGCACGUCGCCAUCGUCUUCAACGAGCUUCGAGCACACCAUCUUCAUCUUAAGCGCUUGAAGUGCUCGUUCGGGACACCUUCAGCUCGGCCACGUCAUCUCGCUCGAGGGGGUUGCUAUGGACGCCGACAAGGUGGCGACCAUCGCGGCCUGGCUGACACUGCACUCACUGCGAGCUCUUCGUGGCUUGCUGGGCCUCGCGGGGUAUUACCGGAAAUUUAUUCGGGAGUUCGGCCUCACCGCGUCCCCGCUCACGCACUUGCUGCGUCGCGACGCCUUUGCCUGGGAUGCGGAGGCGACAUCGACAUUCAAGGCUCUCACAGGGGCCCUCACAACGGGUCCAGUUCUUCAGAUGCCUGACUUUCACUGCUCGUUCGUCAUGGACUGCGACGCCUCCGGUGUGGGCUUUGGUGCCGUCCUUCAUCAGGGCAAUGGACCACACGCGUUCUUCAGCAGGCCCUUUGUCGCGCGCCAUCUUAAGCUCGCGGCCUAUGAGAGGGAGCUCAUUGGCUUGGUGCAGGUCGUGCGCCAUUGGCGGCCCUAUCUUUGGGGCCGGUCGUUCCGGAUUCGCACGGAUCACUACAGCCUCAAGUUCUUAAUUAUUGGACCAGAGGCUGUCUACCGUGCCGCAGCACCAGUGGAUCAACAAGCUCUUUGGCUUCGACUUCACCAUCGAGUAUCGUCCGGGCCGCCUUAACACCAUGGACGACGCCUUGUCCCGCCGCCACACCUACCACGACGCAGCCGUCGGCAACUCCGAUGGGGCGGCGCUCUGCAUCCGCUCCAGGCCCUCCUUCGCCCUCUCUGCUGACAUCCGCAGGGCCACCGCGAUCGCGCCGGAUGCUCAGCUCCUUCGGCAGCGCCUGGAUGACGGCGACCUGGAGGAGCUGUGGCGUCUAGUGGAUGGCUUGCUCCUGCAUGGGCGCCGUCUCUUCGUGCCGGACCACAUUGACCUCCGUCACUAGGUUCUGCUGCUGGCACACUCGGACGGCCACGAGAAUGUGUAGAAGACCCUCCACCGUCUCCGCGCCGACUUCUACAUCCCCGGUGAUCGGGCCCUGGUCCGGGACUGGGUUCGGUCUUGUGUGACGUGCCAGCGCAACAAGACGGAGAUAAUGCGGCCGGCUGGUCUGCUACAACCCUUGGAGGUGCCCUCUCAGGUCUGGGCUGAUAUCUCCAUGGACUGCAUCGAGGGCCUCCCCAAGGUGGGCGGCAAGUUCGUCAUCUUCAUGGUGGUCGACCGCUUCUCCAAGUACGCGCACUUCAUCGUGCUCGGGCAUCCCUACAAUGCCGCAUCCGUGGCCCGUGCCUUCUUCGACAACAUUGUCCGCCUCCACGGGUUUCCCUCUUCGAUUGUCAAUGACCGGGACCCUGUGUUCAUGGGGCAUGUCUGGCGCGGUCUCUUCCGGAUGGCGGGCGUGAAGCUUCGCCUGAGCACGGCCUUCCAUCCUCAGACGGACGGCCAAUCCGAGGUGGUCAACAAGGUGAUUGCCAUGUAUUUGCGUUGUGUCAUAGGUGACUAUCCUCGCGCUUGGGUGGACUAGCUUGCAUGGGCGGAGUACUGCUACAACACCUCUUAUCACUCCGCCCUGAGUGCCACGCCGUUCGAGGUGGUCUAUGGCCGACCGCCCCCGCCCAUCCUGCCGGUUGACCCAGAGACGGCUCAAGCGGAGGCAGCGGGCGACCUUCUUCGCAGCCGCGAUGAGAUGCUUGCAGAGGUGCGACAAUGUUGGAAAUAUGCCCUAGAGGCAAUAAUAAAAUGAUUAUUAUAUUUCCUUGUUUAUGAUAAUUGUCUAUUAUUCAUGCUAUAAUUGUAUUAUCCGGAAAUUGUAAUACAUGUGUGAAUGCAUAGACCACAAUGUGUCCCUAGUGAGCCUCUAGUUGACUAGCUCGUUGAUCAACAGAUAGUCAUGGUUUCCUGGCUAUGGACAUGGGGAUGUCAUUGAUAACGGGAUCACAUCAUCAGGAGAAUGAUGUAAUGGACAAGACCCAAACCUAAGCAUAGCACAAAGAUCGUGUAGUUCGUUUGCUGUAGCUUUUCUGGAUGUCAAGUAUCAUUUCCUUAGACCAUGAGAUUGUGCAACUCCCGGAUACCGUAGGAGUGCCUUGGGUGUGCCAAACGUCACAACGUAACUGGGUGACUAUAAAGGUACAUUACAGGUAUCUCCGAAAGUGUCUGUUGGGUUGGCACGAAUCGAGACUGGGAUUUGUCACUCCGUAUGACGAAGAGGUAUCUCUGGGCCCACUCGGUAAUGCAUCAUCAUAAUGAGCUCAAUGUGAUCAAGUGAUUGAUCACGAGAUCAUGCAUUACGGUAGAGUAAAGUGACUUGCCGGUAACGAGACUGAACAAGGUAUUGGGAUACCGACGAUCGAGUCUCGGGCAAGUAACGUACCGAUUGACAAAGGGAAUUGAGUACGGGAUUGAUUAGGUCCUCGACAUCGUGGUUCAUCCGAUGAGAUCAUCGAGGAGCAUGUGGGAGCCAACAUGGGUAUCCAGAUCCCGUUGUUGGUUAUUGACCAGAGAGUCGUCUCGGUCAUGUCUGCUUGUCUCCCGAACCCGUAGGGUCUACACACUUAAGGUUCGGUGACGCUAGGGUUGUAUAGAUAUGAGUAUGCAGUAAUCCGAAAGUUGUUCGGAGUCCCGGAUGAGAUCCUGGACGUCACGAGGAGUUCCGGAAUUGUCCGGAGAUGAAGAAUUAUAUAUAGGAAGUGUAGUUUCGGCCAUCGGGAAAGUUUCGGGGUCACCGGUAUUGUACCGGGACCACCGGAUGGGUCCCGGGGGUCCACCAGGUGGGGCCACCCAUCCCAGAGGGCCCCAUGGGCUGAAGUGGGGAGGAGAACCAGCCCAUAGUGGGCUGGUGCACCCCCCUUGGGCCCCCCAUGCGCCUAGGGUUGGGAACCCUAGGGGAGGGGGCGCCUCCACUUGCCUUGGGGGGUACUCCACCCCUUGGCCGCCGCCCCCCUAGGAGAUCCCAUCUCCUAGGGCCGGCGCACCCCCCUAGGGGGCCUAUAUAAAGGGGGGGAGGGAGGGCAGUCGCACCUCAAGCCUUGGCGCCUCCCUCUCCCCUGCUACACCUCUCCCUCUCGCAGAAGCUCGGCGAAGCCCUGCUGCGAUCACCGCUGCAUCCACCACCACGUCGUCGUGCUGCUGGAUCUUCAUCAACCUCUCCUUUCCCCUUGCUGGAUCAAGAAGGAGGAGACGUCAUCCGCUCCGUACGUGUGUUGAACGCGGAGGUGCCGUCCGUUCGGCACUUGGUCAUCGGUGAUUUGGAUCACGGCGAGUACGACUCCAUCAUCCCCGUUCUCUUGAGCGCUUCCGCUCGCGAUCUACAAGGGUAUGUAGAUGAACUCUCCUCUCGUUGCUAGUUGACUCCAUAGAUUGAUCUUGGUGAAACAUAGAAUUUUUUUUUGUUUUCUGCUACGAUCCCCAACAGUGGCAUCAUGAGCUAGGUUUAUGCGUAGUUACUAUGCACGAGUAGAACACAAAGUAGUUGUGGGCGUCGAUAUUGUCAAUUUUCUUGCCGUUACUAGUCUUAUCUUGAUUCGGCGGCAUCGUGGGAUGAAGUGGCCCGGACCAACCUUACACGUACGCUUACGUGAGACCGGUUCCACCGAUUGACAUGCACUAGUUGCAUAAGGUGGCUGGCGGGUGUCUGUCUCUCCCACUUUAGUCGGAUCGGAUUCGAUGAACAGGGUCCUUAUGAAGGGUAAAUAGAAAUUGGCAAUUCACGUUGUGGUUUUGGCGUAGGUAAGAAACGUUCUUGCUAGAAACCUAUAACAGCCACGUAAAAACUUGCAACAACAAUUAGAGGACGUCUAACUUGUUUUUGCAGCAAGUGUUUUGUGAUGUGAUAUGGCCAAAAGUUGUGAUGAAUGAUGAAUGAUAUAUGUGAUGUAUGAGAUUGAUCAUGUACUUGUAAUAGGGAUCACGACUUGCAUGUCGAUGAGUAUGACAACCGGCAGGAGCCAUAGGAGUUGUCUUUAUUUAUUUAUGACCUGCGUGUCAACAUAAACGUCAUGUAAUUACUUUACUUUAUUGCUAAAGCGCUAGCCAUAGUAGUAGAAGUAAUAGUUGGCGAGCAACUUCAUGGAGACACGAUGAUGGAGAUCAUGAUGAUGGAGAUCAUGGUGUCAUGCCGGUGACAAGAUGAUCAUGGAGCCCCAAGAUGGAGAUCAAAUGAGCUAUAUGAUAUUGGCCAUAUCAUGUCACUAUUAUUCGAUUGCAUGUGAUGUUUAUCAUGUUUUUGCAUCUUGUUUACUUAGAACGACGGUAGUAAAUAAGAUGAUCCCUCAUAAUAAUUUCAAGAAAGUGUUCCUCCUAACUGUGCGCCGUUGCGACAGUUUGUUGUUUCGAAGCACCACGUGAUGAUCGGGUGUGAUAGAUUCCAACGUUCACAUACAACGGGUGUAAGACAGAUUUACACACGCAAUACACUUAGGUUGACUUGACGUGCCUAGCAUGUAUAGACAUGGCCUCGGAACACAGAAGACCGAAAGGUCGAGCAUGAGUCGUAUAGAAGAUACGAUCAACAUGAAGAUGUUCACCGAUGUUGACUGGUCCGUCUCACGUGAUGAUCGGACACGGCCUAGUCAACUCGGAUCAUGUUAUACUUAGAUGACUGGAGGGAUGUCUAUCUAAGUGGGAGUUCAUUGAAUAAUUUGAUUAGAUGAACUUAAUUAUCAUGAACUUAGUCUAAAAUCUUUACAAUAUGUCUUGUAGAUCAAAUGGCCAACAUUGUCCUCAACUUCAACGCGUUCCUAGAGAAAACCAAACUGAAAGACGAUGGCAGCAACUAUACGGACUGGGUCCAGAACCUAAGGAUCAUCCUCAUAGCUGCCAAGAAAGAUUAUGUCCUAGAAGCACCGCUAGGUGACGCACGUUCAGUGCGGCAUGCUUUACAACUUAGAACUGGGGCUCCAAAAGUGUUUUGAGCGACACGGAGCAUAUGAGAUGUUCAAAGAGCUGAAAAUGGUUUUCCAAGCUCAUGCUCGGGUCGAGAGAUAUGAAGUCUCCGACAAGUUCUUCAGCUGUAAGAUGGAGGAAAAUAGUUCUGUCAGUGAGCACAUACUCAAAAUGUCUGGGUUGCAUAACCGCUUGACUCAGCUGGGAGUUAAUCUCCCGGAUGACGCGGUCAUUGACAGAAUCCUUCAGUCGCUUCCACCAAGCUACAAGAGCUUUAUGAUGAACUUCAAUAUGCAGGGGAUGGAAAAGACCAUUCCUGAAGUAUUUGCAAUGCUGAAAUCAGCAGAGGUAGAAGUCAAAAAGGAACAUCAAGUGUUGAUGGUGAAUAAAACCACUAAGUUCAAGAAAGGCAAGGGUGAGAAGAACUUCAAGAAGGACGGCAAGGGAGUUGCCGCGUCCGGUAAGCAAGCUAUCGGGAAGAAGCCAAAGAAUGGACCCAAGCUCGAGACUGCGUGCUUUUAUUGCAAGGGAAAUGGUCACUGGAAGCGGAACUGCCCCAAAUACUUAGCGGACAAGAAGGCCGGCAUCACAAAAGGUAUAUGUGAUAUACAUGUAAUUGAUGUGUACCUUACCAGUACUCGUAGUAGCUCCUGGGUAUUUGAUAUCGGUGCGGUUGCUCACAUUUGUAACUCAAAGCAGGAGCCGCGGAAUAAGCGGAGACUGGCGAAGGACGAGGUGACGAUGCGCGUCGGGAAUGGUUCCAAGGUCGAUGUGAUCGCCGUCGGCACGCUACCUCUACAUUUACCUACGGGAUUAGUUUUAAACCUCAAUAAUUAUUAUUUAGUGCCAGCUUUGAGCAUGAACAUUGUAUCAGGAUCUCGUUUAAUAUGAGAUGGCUACUCAUUUAAAUCCGAGAAUAAUGGUUGUUCUAUUUAUAUGAGAGAUAUGUUUUAUGGUCAUGCUUCGAUGGUGAAUGGUUUAUUCUUAAUGAAUCUCGAGCGUAAUGCUACACAUAUUCAUAGUGUGAAUACCAAAAGAUGUAAGGUUGAUAAUGAUAGUCCCACAUACUUGUGGCACUGCCGCCUUGGUCACAUAGGUGUCAAACGCAUGAAGAAGCUCCAUGCAGAUGGACUUUUAGAGUCUCUUGAUUACGAAUCAUUUGACACAUGCGAACCAUGCCUCAUGGGUAAAAUGACCAAGACUCCAUUCUCAGGAACAAUGGAGCGAGCAACCAACUUAUUGGAAAUCAUACAUACUGAUGUGUGCGGUCCAAUGAGUAUUGAGGCUCGCGGUGGUUAUCCUUAUGUUCUCACCCUCACUGAUGACUUGAGUAGAUAUGGGUAUGUCUACUUAAUGAAACACAAGUCUGAGACCUUUGAAAAGUUCAAGGAAUUUCAGAGUGAGGUUGAGAAUCAACGUGACAGGAAAAUCAAGUUCUUGCAAUCAGAUCGUGGGGGAGAAUACUUGAGUCACGAAUUUGGCACACACUUAAGAAAAUGUGGAAUAGUUUCACAGCUCACGCCGCCUGGAACACCUCAGCGUAAUGGUGUGUCCGAACGUCGUAAUCGCACUCUAUUGGAUAUGGUGCGAUCUAUGAUGUCUCUUACCGAUUUACCGCUGUCAUUUUGGGGCUAUGCUUUAGAGACUGCCGCAUUCACUUUAAAUAGGGCUCCGUCGAAAUCCGUUGAGACAACACCGUAUGAAUUAUGGUUUGGGAAGAAACCUAAGCUGUCGUUUCUAAAAGUUUGGGGAUGCGAUGCUUAUGUCAAGAAACUUCAACCUGAAAAGCUCAAACCCAAAUCAGAAAAAUGCGUCUUCAUAGGAUACCCUAAAGAGACAGUUAGGUAUACCUUCUACCUCAGAUCUGAAGGCAAGAUCUUUGUUGCCAAGAAUGGGUCCUUUCUAGAGAAAGAGUUUCUCUCGAAAGAAAUAAGUGGGAGGAAGGUAGAACUUGAUGAAGUAUUACCUCUUGAACCGGUAAGUGGCGCAACUCAAGAAAAUGUUCCUGAGGUGCCUGCACCGACUAGAGAGGAAGUUGUUGAUGAUGAUCAUGAAACUUCAGAUCAAGUUGCUACUAAACUUCGUAGGUCCACAAGGACACGUUCCGCACCAGAGUGGUACGGCAACCCUGUCUUGGAAAUCAUGUUGUUAGACAACGGUGAACCUUCGAACUAUGAAGAAGCGAUGGCGGGUCCGGAUUCCGACAAAUGGCUGGAAGCCAUGAAAUCCGAGAUAGGAUCCGUGUAUGAAAACGAAGUAUGGACUUUGACUGACUUGCCCAUUGAUCGGCGAGCCAUAGAAAAUAAAUGGAUCUUUAAGAAGAAGACAGACGCGGAUGGUAAUGUGACCAUCUAUAAAGCUCGGCUUGUCGCUAAUGGUUAUCGACAAGUUCAAGGGGUUGACUACGAUGAGACUUUCUCACCUGUAGCGAAGCUGAAGUCCGUCCGAAUCAUGUUAGCAAUUGCCGCAUUCUAUGAUUAUGAGAUAUGGCAAAUGGACGUCAAAACGGCAUUCCUUAAUGGUUUCCUUAAGGAAGAAUUGUAUAUGAUGCAGCUGGAAGGUUUUGUCGAUCCUAAGAAUGCUGACAAGAUGUGCAAUCUCCAACGCUCGAUUUAUGGGCUGGUGCAAGCAUCUCGGAGUUGGAACAUUCGCUUUGAUGAGAUGAUCAAAGCGUUUGGGUUUAUGCAGACUUAUGGAGAAGCCUGCAUUUACAAGAAAGUGAGUGGGAGCUCUGUAGCAUUUCUCAUAUUGUAUGUGGAUGACAUACUGUUGAUGGGAAAUGAUAUAGAAUUCUUGGAAAGCAUAAAGGCCUAUUUGAACAAGUGUUUUUCAAUGAAGGACCUUGGAGAAGCUGCUUAUAUAUUAGGCAUCAAGAUCUAUAGAGAUAGAUCGAGACGCCUCAUUGGUCUUUCACAGAGUACGUACCUUGACAAGAUAUUGAAGAAGUUCAAAAUGGAUCAGUCAAAGAAGGGGUUCUUUCCUGUAUUGCAAGGUACGAGAUUGAGCUUGGCUCAAUGCCCGACCAUGGCAGAAGAUAGAGAAAAGAUGAGUGUCGUCCCCUAUGCCUCGGCCAUAGGGUCUAUCAUGUAUGCUAUGCUAUGUACCAGACCUGAUGUAAACCUUGCCGUGAGUUUGGUAGGAAGGUACCAAAGUAAUCCCGGCAUGGAACACUAGACAGCGGUCAAAAAUAUCCUGAAGUACCUGAAAAGGACUAAGGAAAUGUUUCUCGUUUAUGGAGGUGACGAAGAGCUCGUCGUAAAGGGUUACGUCGAUGCUAGCUUCGACACAGAUCUGGAUGACUCUAAGUCACAAACCGGAUACGUGUAUAUUUUGAAUGGUGGGGCAGUAAGCUGGUGCAGUUGCAAGCAAAGCGUUGUGGCGGGAUCUACAUGUGAAGCGGAGUACAUGGCAACCUCGGAGGCAGCACACGAAGCAGUCUGGGUGAAGGAGUUCAUUACCGACCUAGGAGUCAUACCCAAUGCGUCGGGCCCGAUGACUCUCUUCUAUGACAACACUGGAGCUAUUGCCCUUGCCAAGGAGCCCAGGUUUCACAGGAAGACCAGGCAUAUCAAGCGUCGCUUCAGCUCCAUUCGUGAAAGUGUUCAAAAUGGAGACAUGCAGAUUUGUAAAGUACAUACGGACCUGAAUGUAGCAGAUCCGUUGACUAAACCUCUCCCUAGAGCAAAACAUGAUCAACACCAGAAUUCCAUGGGUGUUCGAUUCAUCACAAUGUAACUAGAUGAUUGACUCUAGUGCAAGUGGGAGACUGUUGGAAAUAUGCCCUAGAGGCAAUAAUAAAAUGAUUGUUAUAUUUCCUUGUUCAUGAUAAUUAUCUAUUAUUCAUGUUAUAAUUGUAUUAUCUGGAAAUCGUAAUACAUGUGUGAAUGCAUAGACCACAAUGUGUCCCUAGUGAGCCUCUAGUUGACUAGCUCGUUGAUCAACAUAUAGUCAUGGUUUCCUGGCUAUGGACAUGGGGAUGUCAUUGAUAACGGGAUCACAUCAUUAGGAGAAUGAUGUGAUGGACAAGACCCAAACCUAAGCAUAGCACAAAGAUCGUAGUUCGUUUGUUGUAGCUUUUCUGGAUGUCAAGUAUCAUUUCCUUAGACCAUGAGAUUGUGCAACUCCCGGAUACCGUAGGAGUGCCUUGGGUGUGCCAAACGUCACAACGUAACUGGGUGACUAUAAAGGUACAUUACAGGUAUCUCCGAAAGUGUCUGUUGGGUUGGCACGAAUCGAGACUGGGAUUUGUCACUCCGUAUGACGAAGAGGUAUCUCUGGGCCCACUCGGUAAUGCAUCAUCAUAAUGAGCUCAAUGUGAUCAAGUGAUUGAUCACGGGAUCAUGCAUUAUGGUACGAGUAAAGUGACUUGCCGGUAACGAGACUGAACAAGUUAUUGGGAUACCGACGAUCGAGUCUCGGGCAAGUAACGUACCGAUUGACAAAGGGAAUUGAGUACGGGAUUGAUUAAGUCCUCGACAUCGUGGUUCAUCCGAUGAGAUCAUCGAGGAGCAUGUGGGAGCCAACAUGGGUAUCCAGAUCCCGCCGUUGGUUAUUGACCAGAGAGUCGUCUCGGUCAUGUCUGCUUGUCUCCCGAACCUGUAGGGUCUACACACUUAAGGUUCGGUGACGCUAGGGUUGUAUAGAUAUGAGUAUGCAGUAAUCCGAAAGUUGUUCGGAGUCCCGAAUGAGAUCCUGGACGUCACGAGGAGUUCUGGAAUUGUCCGGAGGUGAAGAAUUACAUAUAGGAAGUGUAGUUUCGGCCAUCGGGAAAGUUUCGGGGUCACCGGUAUUGUACCGGGACCACCGGAUGGGUCCCGGGGGUCCACCGGGUGGGGCCACCCAUCUCGGAGGGCCCCAUGGGCUGAAGUGGGGAGGGGAACCAGCCCAUAAUGGGCUGGUGCGCCCCCCCCCUUGGGCCCCCCAUGCGCCUAGGGUUGGGAACCCUAGGGGAGGGGGCGCCUCCACUUGCCUUGGGGGGUACUCCACCCCUUGGCCGCCGCCCCCCUAGGAGAUCCCAUCUCCUAGGGCCGGCGCACCCCCCUAGGGGGCCUAUAUAAAGGGGGGAGGGAGGGCAGCCACACCUCAAGCCUUGGCGCCUCCCUCUCCCCUGCUACACCUCUCCCUCUCGCAGAAGCUCGGCGAAGCCCUGCUGCGAUCACUGCUGCAUCCACCACCACGCCGUCGUGCUGCUGGAUCUUCAUCAACCUCUCCUUCCCCCUUGCUGGAUCAAGAAGGAGGAGACGUCAUCCGCUCCGUACGUGUGUUGAACGCGGAGGUGCCGUCCGUUCGGCACUUGGUCAUCGGUGAUUUGGAUCACGGCGAGUACGACUCCAUCAUCCCCGUUCUCUUGAGUGCUUCCGCUCGUGAUCUACAAGGGUAUGUAGAUGCACUCUACUCUCGUUGCUAGUUGACUCCAUAGAUUGAUCUUGGUGAAACGUAGAAUUCUCUUUGUUUUCUGCUACGAUCCCCAACAGACAACGCCUCAUUCAGGCCCAGCAGCUGGCCAAGCACUACUACGACGGCCACCACCGUGAGGCGGAGUUCGCGGUGGGCGACUGGGUGUGGCUGUGCCUUCUUCACCAUUCUAUGCAGUCCCUUGACCCGCGCGCAAAGCGCAAGCUGGUCCCUCGCUACGCCGGGCCAUUUUUCGUGCCGGAGCGCAUUGUGAAGGUGGCCUACCGCCUUCAGCUUCCGGCCGAUGCUCGCAUCCACGACAUCAUCCAUGUGGGGCUGCUGAAGCCCUUCCGUGGGGAGCCACCGGCAGCCACGCCCGCGCUACCUCCUACCCCCGAUGGGCGCCUCCUUCUCGGACCAGCGAAGGUAUUGCAGGCCUAGCUAUGUCGCGGGGUGUAGCACUUGUUGAUCCAGUGGGACGGCCUUCCGGAGGAGGAGGCCACUUGGGAGCAGUGCGACGAGUUCCGCCAACACUACCCAGACUUCCAGCUCGAGGACGAGCUGUUUGCGCAGGCGGGGAGAGAUGUUAUGACCGGGAUAACUUAUACCCGGAGGAGGCCCACUGGCGCAUUUAGUUAGGGGCUUAGCCCAAGAGUUAUCUUAUUUUUGUUAGCAUCGUGAUUAUAUAAACAACUGUAAAGACUCUUUUGGAAAAUCAAGCAAUAAGACAAUUCUAUUGCCCGGCUCCUUGAGGAGCCGGAACCCUAAACCCUAGCCGCUUCCUGCCAACGCCGCCUCCUCCUCACUCGCGCAUGACGGCGCCCAGCCGCCGGCGGCCGCAUGUUCAUCCACGUCCAGCUCCCUCCUUCCCCUACAACCUCAGGCCUAGACCCGGUAGAACCCUAGUUCCUACCACGACCUCUGAAGUUUUUGUAAUUAACAUUGACUUAUAUAUACCCACGGAUGUAUCUUAACUUGUUUUAUCUAACAAAGGGAACAUCAAUUUAACAUGUGUUUGUGAGAGAAAUAAAUGUAAAAUUGCAUCAAUUUAAUAUAUCCAGAGUAAGAUACAUUAUAUGUCUCUUUUAAUGUCAAUUAAGCUUCACAUUUCGAAUUACCAACGAAACAACCUUCACUAAAAAUUAGGAUGAGCUUUCGGAUAUUUUCAACAGAUUGGAGGUCGGCGAACCCACUUCAUCUUUAAAUAACAAUGAAUUUCAAAAAGUCUAAGCAUACCCACAACUAUCAAAGGUCUAAUAAACUUUCAAAAAAAUAAAA
Molecule: long non-coding RNA, 15810 nt
Filed under: Triticum aestivum (bread wheat)
Lineage: Eukaryota; Viridiplantae; Streptophyta; Magnoliopsida; Poales; Poaceae
Description: long non-coding RNA (TAES_LNC026369)
Source: RNAcentral